ACACAUGCAAGUCGAGCGGUNNAGAGGUGCUUGCACCUCUUGAGAGCGGCGGACGGGUGAGUAAUACCUAGGAAUCUGCCUGAUAGUGGGGGAUAACGUUCGGAAACGGACGCUAAUACCGCAUACGUCCUACGGGAGAAAGCAGGGGACCUUCGGGCCUUGCGCUAUCAGAUGAGCCUAGGUCGGAUUAGCUAGUUGGUGAGGUAAUGGCUCACCAAGGCUACGAUCCGUAACUGGUCUGAGAGGAUGAUCAGUCACACUGGAACUGAGACACGGUCCAGACUCCUACGGGAGGCAGCAGUGGGGAAUAUUGGACAAUGGGCGAAAGCCUGAUCCAGCCAUGCCGCGUGUGUGAAGAAGGUCUUCGGAUUGUAAAGCACUUUAAGUUGGGAGGAAGGGCAGUUACUUAAUACGUGAUUGUCUUGACGUUACCGACAGAAUAAGCACCGGCUAACUCUGUGCCAGCAGCCGCGGUAAUACAGAGGGUGCAAGCGUUAAUCGGAAUUACUGGGCGUAAAGCGCGCGUAGGUGGUUUGUUAAGUUGAAUGUGAAAUCCCCGGGCUCAACCUGGGAACUGCAUCCAAAACUGGCAAGCUAGAGUAUGGUAGAGGGUAGUGGAAUUUCCUGUGUAGCGGUGAAAUGCGUAGAUAUAGGAAGGAACACCAGUGGCGAA
RNAcentral lists this ribosomal RNA (673 nucleotides) under unidentified microorganism. RNAcentral's name for it is "bacterial SSU rRNA". It matches the Rfam family "Bacterial small subunit ribosomal RNA", at positions 51 to 719 of the family's 1533-position model. The record is from RNAcentral.